UACAGAGGGUGCGAGCGUUAAUCGGAAUUACUGGGCGUAAAGCGUGCGUAGACGGUAGCGUAAGUCAGAUGUGAAAGCCCCGGGCUCAACCUGGGAAUUGCAUUUGAGACUGCUCUGCUCGGGUGCGGAAGAGGGAAGCGGAAUUUCCGGUGUAGCGGUGAAAUGCGUAGAUAUCGGAAGGAACACCUGUGGCGAAAGCGGCUCACUGGACCACAACUGACGCUGAGGCGCGAAAGCUAGGGGAGCAAACAGG
RNAcentral lists this ribosomal RNA (253 nucleotides) under uncultured bacterium. RNAcentral describes it as "partial 16S ribosomal RNA". It matches the Rfam family "Bacterial small subunit ribosomal RNA", at positions 524 to 776 of the family's 1533-position model. The record is from RNAcentral.